AGUUAUCUGAACCUUCGGGGAACGAUAACGGCGUCGAGCGGCGGACGGGUGAGUAAUGCCUAGGAAAUUGCCCUGAUGUGGGGGAUAACCAUUGGAAACGAUGGCUAAGACCGCAUGAUGUCGUUUUCUAUAAGCGGAAAUGACCAAAGAGGGGGACCUUCGGGCCUCUCGCGUCAGGAUAUGCCUAGGUGGGAUUAGCUAGUUGGUGAGGUAAUGGCUCACCAAGGCGACGAUCCCUAGCUGGUCUGAGAGGAUGAUCAGCCACACUGGAACUGAGACACGGUCCAGACUCCUACGGGAGGCAGCAGUGGGGAAUAUUGCACAAUGGGCGCAAGCCUGAUGCAGCCAUGCCGCGUGUGUGAAGAAGGCCUUCGGGUUGUAAAGCACUUUCAGUCGUGAGGAAGGUGGUGUAGUUAAUAGCUGCAUUACUUGACGUUAGCGACAAAAGAAGCACCGGCUAACUCCGUGCCAGCAGCCGCGGUAAUACGGAGGGUGCGAGCGUUAAUCGGAAUUACUGGGCGUAAAGCGCAUGCAGGUGGUUUGUUAAGUCAGAUGUGAAAGCCCGGGGCUCAACCUCGGAAUAGCAUUUGAAACUGGCAGACUAGAGUACUGUAGAGGGGGGUAGAAUUUC
This 631-nucleotide ribosomal RNA is filed under the name uncultured Vibrio sp. RNAcentral's name for it is "bacterial SSU rRNA". It matches the Rfam family "Bacterial small subunit ribosomal RNA", at positions 60 to 670 of the family's 1533-position model. Lineage: Bacteria; Pseudomonadati; Pseudomonadota; Gammaproteobacteria; Vibrionales; Vibrionaceae. The record is from RNAcentral.